CUACGGGUUGCUGCAGUGAGGAAUAUUGCGCAAUGGGGGAAACCCUGACGCAGCGACGCCGCGUGGAUGAUGAAGGCCUUCGGGUCGUAAAAUCCUGUCAGAUGGGAAGAAAUGUUAUAUCUCUAAUAUAGGUAUGAUUUGACGGUACCAUCAAAGGAAGCACCGGCUAACUCCGUGCCAGCAGCCGCGGUAAUACGGAGGGUGCAAGCGUUGUUCGGGAUUACUGGGCGUAAAGCGCGCGUAGGCGGCUAUUUAAGUCAGAUGUGAAAGUCCACGGCCAACCGUGGAAGUGCAUUUGAAACUGGAUGGCUUGAGUACUGGAGGGGGUGGUGGAAUUCCCGGUGUAGAGGUGAAAUUCGUAGAUAUCGGGAGGAAUACCGGUGGCGAAGGCGACCACCUGGCCAGAUGCUGACGCUGAGGUGCGAAAGCGUGGGGAGCAAACAGGAUUAGAUACCCUAGUAGUC
This 464-nucleotide ribosomal RNA is filed under the name uncultured bacterium. RNAcentral describes it as "partial 16S ribosomal RNA". It matches the Rfam family "Bacterial small subunit ribosomal RNA", at positions 339 to 795 of the family's 1533-position model. The record is from RNAcentral.